RNAcentral lists this ribosomal RNA (253 nucleotides) under uncultured bacterium. RNAcentral's name for it is "partial 16S ribosomal RNA". It matches the Rfam family "Bacterial small subunit ribosomal RNA", at positions 524 to 776 of the family's 1533-position model. The record is from RNAcentral.
UACGGAGGGUGCGAGCGUUGUCCGGAAUCACUGGGCGUAAAGGGCGCGUAGGCGGCAUGCCAAGCGUGUGGUGAAAGCCCGGGGCUCAACCCCGGGUCGGCCGUGCGGACUGGCGUGCUCGAGUACUGUAGGGGCGGGUGGAAUUCCGGGUGUAGCGGUGGAAUGCGUAGAGAUGUGGAGGAACACCGAUGGCGAAGGCAGCCCCCUGGGCUAACACUGACGCUGAAGCGCGAAAGCUAGGGGAGCGAACGGG